GGUGUUGCAUGGCUGUCGUCAGCUCGUGUCGUGAGAUGUUCGGUUAAGUCCGCUAACGAGCGCAACCCUCGUCGUAUGUUAUAUGUGUCAUACGAGACUGCCGGUAAAAAGCCGGAGGAAGGUGAGGAUGAUGUCAAGUCAGCAUGACCUUUAUAUCCAGGGCUACACACACGCUACAAUGGUCUGUACAAUGGGUAGCCAAGCCGCGAGGCGGAGCCAAUCCUGAAAGCAGGCCUCAGUUCAGAUUGCAGUCUGCAACUCGACUGCAUGAAGCCGGAGUUGCUAGUAACCGCAGGUCAGCAAUACUGCGGUGAAUACGUUCCCGGGUCUU
RNAcentral lists this ribosomal RNA (331 nucleotides) under uncultured Anaerolineaceae bacterium. RNAcentral describes it as "bacterial SSU rRNA". It matches the Rfam family "Bacterial small subunit ribosomal RNA", at positions 1037 to 1382 of the family's 1533-position model. Lineage: Bacteria; Bacillati; Chloroflexota; Anaerolineae; Anaerolineales; Anaerolineaceae. The record is from RNAcentral.